This 3202-nucleotide long non-coding RNA is filed under the name Gossypium barbadense (sea-island cotton). RNAcentral describes it as "long non-coding RNA (GBAR_LNC002821)". Lineage: Eukaryota; Viridiplantae; Streptophyta; Magnoliopsida; Malvales; Malvaceae. The record is from RNAcentral.
UUCCUAUGAACAUUGUAACAUCUCUUAGCCGUAUCUGAUGCUGGGACAGGAUACGAGGCAUUAUCGGAUUUAUAACUCAAACCAGAACAGUAAGACUUUAACUUAUCAAUCGUCAACAUCAUUCAACACUAAUCCAACAUAUCAUGCUUAAAACAAUUAUAUAAGCUUAUACUAAAGUGACCAUUCUAUGUAGUCACAUAUAUACAAGCAUCUAAAUACCAUUUACAAAUUAAUCACAUUUCAACAUUCUUAUCAACUCAUCCAUAAUUACAUAUCAUUCAAACCAAAAUACCAAUUAUAAAUUUUAACACUAAAUGCACACAUCAUAUAAUGCUUUCGUAUCAAACCAACUUUUCUCAUAUCAAGUUAUAUCACAUAGCUUGAUCAUAAUACUCAAAAUUCAUCUCACAUUCAUAUAAACAAGUGACCAUGUAAUCAAUUUAUUAACUAGCCUAUACAUGCCAUAUUACCCAAUUUCAAAGAGUUUAGGAAUACCAAUUGCCUCCUGGAUAGUGUGAUGAAAUCUUCAAUGACUUCCAACCUGAUUGAGCAUUCGAAUAACUGUAAAAUACAGAGAAUAGACAGAGUAAGCUAAUAAGCUUAGUAGCUCGCAUAAUUAUCAGCACUGUAUAAAAGAUUUAACAUUAAGCUUGUCAUUUUAAGCAAUAAGAUUGCUUUUAAACCAGCCUCAUCUAAUUCAAUAUUUAUUUCCUUAACAGUCAUGUAAUUCAUGUGUAAUUUAUCACAUCUACUCACGUGUCAUAUAAAUUUAUCAAUGUCACUUGCUUGUCAAGUGUACCAUGUAUACCUGUACUGAUUUGUAUCAUCAUUUCUAUUCUCGCAGCAUCAUAAUUACAGUUGAACCCUUGAGACCAACAUCAAAAACCCUGUAUCUUGCAUACUAAAUGCCAUAAAUGUGACUAAACCAUUUAUAUCACAUAUCACCAAUACAAUAUUAAUAUCAUAGAAUUCAUAUAGCAUUAGGUCGAUUUAUUUCAUUACGUAUAACCUAUAACACCUUUAUAUAACCGAUAGUAGAAUUAUACCCGUAUAAAUAUUAACUCAUCAGUAACAUCAAUAAUUCAUAAUUUGUAACAAAUAAUCAUUUUACUUACUUACCUAAUUUUGAAUAACAAAUAAAUUAGGUCAUAUCUGACCAUCCAACUCGUCUUACACAUUCCGUACCACAUUGGCACCCGGUGUAAACCAGCUAGGAAUAAGCCUGAUAAAACUCACCGACUCAAGGCCUGCUAGGCUUUUAGCCUGAAUCAUUCAUCGGCACAAGGCCUGCUAGACCCAAGGUCUGAUAUUUAUCCACCGGCAAUAAGCCUACUAGGCACGAAGCCCGAUCAAAUUCUCCGACACAUAGCCUGCUAGGCUAGAAACCCGAAUAUCAUUUAUUCACAAUCAACUCAAGCACACUUUCAUUCAUAAGAAAAUUCGAUUAUCAUACAUUUUCCAUUCAAUUUCUCAAUAUCAAUACUUAAUCAAAACAACUCAAACAUUCCCAUUCUAUCCUUACUACAUUCGGCUAUUAUUCAUUUAGCCAUAAAUCCAAAAUUAACAUUUUAAACAAAUUGUUUUAUUCAAACAAGAACAUUUAAAUUUCUUAUAGACUUGCUACAUGGUAUCGUAUAUAGAUAUAUAUAAUCAUAUCAUUUUACUCAUCCAAUUUGUACAUCUAUCAUGCAACCUUCUUUACCAUUAUCAAUCACACAGCUUUACGAUCUAUAAUAUUAACCCUAUAGGUUUGAUAACCUGCUCAAAUUCAAAUUUAUAACUCAUAAAUACUUCUCAAGAAAUUCAAGGAAAAAAAUACUUUCAAUCAUUCCCAAUUACUCGAAAAGUCGCACACUUAGUGCCAAUAGUUAUUCAACAUUAUAUAUCGAAUUCGCACACUUAGUGCUAGAUACUUAAGCUUGCACACUUAGUGCUCAAUUAUCAGACCCGCACACUUAGUGCAAUUUUUACAUCUAUAUCCUUUUAUACUCGCACCCUCUGUGUCGAAAUUCGAUUACUCACUAUUCAUCAAUUCAAAUUUAUCAACUUUAUUUGCAUUCGGCAACCUCAAAUUUUUUUUUAUAUAUAUACAUUUCAAUUUGGCACAUAUGUGUAUAUAUAGUAUUUAAUUUAAUCAACAACAAAUAUUUCCUUAGUAACUUACCACAUACAAGGCAUUUAAUUUAUCAUAUAUUAAAGCUCAAUUAACUCCAAUAUACAUUUACUCAACCACAUAGUACUUCAUUACUUUCAAACACAAGAUCGAAUAUAUAUUAUGGCAUUCCAUCAUCAUGUAAAUUAAUAUAAUCAAGUACAAAGCCAUUUAACAUAUCUACCAUUACAUACUUAAAUUUGGCAGAUUAUCCAUCAUCUCUUAUAUCAUAUAAUUUUUUUAUCAAUUUAAUCAUAUAAUUCAAUGACUGCAACAUAUUCAUAGAGCCGAUAAAUUUUAGUUAUUUAUUCAUUCUGUAAACAAUUAACAUCAAUUAAAAACAAUUUUAGUAGCUAAUAAUUCGAUAUUUUUUUAACCAUACGAACUUACCUCGUGUAUCCGUCGACUAUUCGUCUACUUUCCGAUUUUUCCUCGAUCAAAAUCUUGAAUUCGUUUGGCUUGAUCUAAUUUAACCAAAUUUAACUCAAUUAUUCACUAACAUAAUCAAUUAAAUACAUAUACAAGUAUUUUGGCCAUUUUGCAAAAUAACCCUUAAAUUUUCAUACUUUAACAAUUUAGUCCUUAAUGCAUAAUUAUGCAAAAAUACACAAAACCCCAAUAUACAUGUAUUUAGCCGAAUUUUCUAUAAUAUUUAAACAGCCAUAAUUUCAUUUUAUUCACAUUUCUAACCACAAAAAUUCUAUCUUUUUCAAUUUAAUCCCAAAUACUCAAUUUCAUCAAAAAUCUCUUUAUAAAACUUGUAUAUCUAUAAACAACCAUCAAUAAUUUAACAAGAAAUAUUAAAACAAACAUGCACUCAUCAAUGGCACAUUUCAAAAACACAACCAAUUUCAGAAAUUGAGGUACGGGUCAGUUAAACCGAGCUACAACGAGCUCAAAAACAUAGAAAUCAUUAAAAACUGAUCAAAAACCGUACCUUAAUCCCUUAGAAAGCCAUGGCCGAAUGUUAAAGCUUCCAAAACCCUUUCUUUGUUUAAUUAUUCGGCUAAAGAUGAUGAAAACAUAAUAAAAAUAUCAUAUGGCUUUAUU